Limanda limanda (common dab) is the source of this 1161-nucleotide RNA transcript. It is a transcript of the gene named CD209 antigen-like protein C, with no coding region annotated. Lineage: Eukaryota; Metazoa; Chordata; Actinopteri; Pleuronectiformes; Pleuronectidae. The transcript is spliced from 9 exons. The record is from RefSeq and is a predicted model, not a curated record.
CUUCUGUCUGUAAAACACAUUCUGAGGUGACCAUGGACAAAAACCUGCCUGAUGCUUCAGCCACAAAUAGGAAACUGGUUGUCUUGAGCCUCGGACUCCUGUGUAUCCUGCAAGCUGCUCUCAACAUUUCCCUGCGUCUUGCUCUCUACAGUUCUGAUGCACCAGAUUAUGAUGCUGUGAUCAGGAAUCUGACAGAAGAGAGGGACCAGUUGAAGAGGAAGUUGAAUACAUUUGACAGUUCUGAUGCACCAGAUCAUGAUGCUGUGAUCAGGAACCUGACAGAAGAGAGGGACCAGUUGAAGAGGAAGUUGAAUACAUUUGACAGUUCUGAUGCACCAGAUUAUGAUGCUGUGAUCAGGACCCUGACAGAAGAGAGGGACCAGUUGAAGAGGAAGUUGAACAUAUUUGAUCAUUACACCCAAGAAGGAUGGAGAUACUUCCGCUCUAGUUUCUAUUUCAUUUCCUCUGUCAAGAAAUCCUGGGGAGACAGUAGAGACAACUGUCUGCAGAAAGGAGCAGACCUGGUGAUUAUCAACAGCAAAGAGGAAAAUGAGUUCACAAGACAGUUCAGAAGGCUCUUCUGGAUCGGACUGACUGACACAGAGACAGAAGGGACAUGGAAAUGGGUGGAUGGGACUUUGCUGAGCACAACAACAAGCUACUGGCACCCUGGGGAACCAAACUCGUAUUUUAGCACUAAUGAAGACUGUGGAGAGACAAAGUUCAACGAAGUUGAAGACAACUGGAAUGAUGAAAAAUGUCACUGGCAGAAGUUCUGGAUCUGUGAAAAGAUGGUGGCUUGAUAACGCUGCACCCAAACGCAGCACACUGGUAACUGAUGAGCUGCAGAGGAAGAGGCUCAUUAAAAUGGGUUUCUGCCACUGGAAUACUGGUGUACCCAACUCUUUGGGCCAAAGUGAAGACCGUGCAGUAACAGCCAACAGCUGGUAUGACCUGCCAUGAGAAAAGAAAAACUUCUACAUCUGUGAAAAAAGUGUCUCUCAAUAAGUCAAAGUAAAAACUGUGAACUGGUCGCUCAGUAGAGGAUGUGGGUUUUUUUCUAAAUCAGGGGCCAUAAAGCGGCCACCUGCUAGGUUUAUCAUAUUUGUCAUUCGUUCAAGAUGUAAUCAAAUUAUAAUCAUGUAAUCCCUGACUAUGUUA